RNAcentral lists this ribosomal RNA (429 nucleotides) under Chloroflexota bacterium. Its description in RNAcentral is "Chloroflexi bacterium partial 16S ribosomal RNA". It matches the Rfam family "Bacterial small subunit ribosomal RNA", at positions 355 to 776 of the family's 1533-position model. Lineage: Bacteria; Bacillati; Chloroflexota. The record is from RNAcentral.
UAGGGAAUCUUCGGCAAUGGACGAAAGUCUGACCGAGCAACGCCGCGUGAGUGAAGAAGGUUUUCGGAUCGUAAAACUCUGUUGUUAGAGAAGAACAAGGACGUUAGUAACUGAACGUCCCCUGACGGUAUCUAACCAGAAAGCCACGGCUAACUACGUGCCAGCAGCCGCGGUAAUACGUAGGUGGCAAGCGUUGUCCGGAUUUAUUGGGCGUAAAGCGAGCGCAGGCGGUUUGUUAAGUCAGAUGUGAAAUCCCCGGGCUCAACCUGGGAACGGCAUCUGAUACUGGCAAGCUUGAGUCUCGUAGAGGGGGGUAGAAUUCCAGGUGUAGCGGUGAAAUGCGUAGAGAUCUGGAGGAAUACCGGUGGCGAAGGCGGCCCCCUGGACAAAGACUGACGCUCAGGUGCGAAAGCGUGGGGAGCAAACAGG